This 986-nucleotide ribosomal RNA is filed under the name Methanoculleus sp. RNAcentral's name for it is "bacterial SSU rRNA". It matches the Rfam family "Archaeal small subunit ribosomal RNA", at positions 169 to 1158 of the family's 1478-position model. Lineage: Archaea; Methanobacteriati; Methanobacteriota; Methanomicrobia; Methanomicrobiales; Methanomicrobiaceae. The record is from RNAcentral.
GCUGGAAUGCCCUGUAACCGAAAGUUCCGACGCCUUAGGAUGGAUCUGCGGCCGAUUAGGUUGUUGUCGGGGUAACGGCCCAACAAGCCGAUAAUCGGUACGGGUUGUGGGAGCAAGAGCCCGGAGUUGGAUUCUGAGACACGAAUCCAGGCCCUACGGGGCGCAGCAGGCGCGAAAACUUUACAAUGCGGGCAACCGUGAUAAGGGAACCUCGAGUGCCUGUAUAUGCAGGCUGUCCAGGUGUCUAAAACACACCUGAAGAAAGGGCCGGGCAAGACCGGUGCCAGCCGCCGCGGUAAUACCGGCGGCUCGAGUGGUGGCCGCUUUUAUUGGGCUUAAAGCGUUCGUAGCUGGGUCGUUAAGUCUCUUGGGAAAUCCGGCAGCUUAACUGUCGGGCGUCUAAGGGAUACUGGCGAUCUUGGAACCGGGAGAGGUGAGGGGUACUUCAGGGGUAGGAGUGAAAUCCUGUAAUCCUUGAGGGACCACCUGUGGCGAAGGCGCCUCACCAGAACGGCUUCGACAGUGAGGGACGAAAGCUGGGGGAGCAAACCGGAUUAGAUACCCGGGUAGUCCCAGCCGUAAACGAUGUGCGUUAGGUGUAUCGACGACCACGAGUCGUCGAGGUGCCGAAGGGAAACCGUGAAACGUACCGCCUGGGAAGUACGGUCGCAAGGCUGAAACUUAAAGGAAUUGGCGGGGGAGCACCACAACAGGUGGAGCCUGCGGUUUAAUUGGACUCAACGCCGGGAAGCUCACCGGAUAAGACAGCUGAAUGAUUGCCGGGCUGAAGACUCUGCAUGACUAGCUGAGAGGAGGUGCAUGGCCGUCGUCAGUUCGUACUGUGAAGCAUCCUGUUAAGUCAGGCAACGAGCGAGACCCACGCCAACAGUUGCCAGCAUGAUCUCCGGAUUGAUGGGGACACUGUUGGGGACCGCCUCUGCUAAAGAGGAAGAAGGAAUGGGGCAACGGUAGGUCAGCAUGCCCCG